CAUUAAGACCACGGUCUACAGCAGGCCAGAAGCGACAAAGCCCUAUAAAUAAACACGUACCGGAAGUUGCCAUUAGUGCUGUAAGAGAGCCCUGCUUACCUAUGACUGCAUCCACCUGGGGACCAAGGCACCGCCUUCUCCAUCUUUCUUCUGAGCUUAACCGAGCAACCAGCAGAUGACUUCUCUUAAACACAGAUGCUCUCAAGCCUGAACUCAUCAAUCUACUGGCCCUGGUCCUGGAGGUUAAAACUUUACCUUUUAAACUUAUCAAAGCCUUCAUUCAAUAAAGAUUGAAGAGUAAGGGGCUUCAGGCAGAAGCAACAGAUUUCAAGGAGUUUUUGAGACUUGGAGCCAUUAGAUCAUUGUUCUGAUGCCGGACGACACAUGGGCCAUGGAGUAGAGAGAAGAAACAUGGCUUCCACAAGUAAAAACUGCAAGGGGGCCA
Odocoileus virginianus texanus is the source of this 445-nucleotide long non-coding RNA. RefSeq lists it as uncharacterized. NCBI's taxonomy places the organism in Eukaryota, Metazoa, Chordata, Mammalia, Artiodactyla, Cervidae. The record is from RefSeq and is a predicted model, not a curated record.